CAGCCGCCGCGGGAAUACGAAGGGGGCUAGCGUUGUUCGGAAUUACUGGGCGUAAAGCGCACGUAGGCGGACAUUUAAGUCAGGGGUGAAAUCCCGGGGCUCAACCUCGGAACUGCCUUUGAUACUGGGUGUCUCGAGUCCGGAAGAGGUAAGUGGAACUGCGAGUGUAGAGGUGAAGUUCGUAGAUAUUCGCAAGAACACCAGUGGCGAAGGCGGCUUACUGGUCCGGUACUGACGCUGAGGUGCGAAAGCGUGGGGAGCAAACAGGAUUAGAUACCCGCGUAGUCCCUGUCUCUUAUAA
This 301-nucleotide ribosomal RNA is filed under the name uncultured bacterium. RNAcentral's name for it is "partial 16S ribosomal RNA". It matches the Rfam family "Bacterial small subunit ribosomal RNA", at positions 509 to 809 of the family's 1533-position model. The record is from RNAcentral.